GAAGGGGACCACUUUCCACCGAUCUUAUUCGGCGGAGGGUGAGUAAUGCUUAUGAGUCUGCCGAUUAGUGGGGGACAACAUUUCCAAAGGAAUGCUAAUACCGCAUACGUCCUACGGGAGAAAGCAGGGGAUCUUCGGACCUUGCGCUAAUAGAUGAGCCUAAGUCGGAUUACCUAGUUGGUGGGGUAAAGGCCUACCAAGGCGACGAUCUGUAGCGGGUCUGAGAGGAUGAUCCGCCACACUGGGACUGAGACACGGCCCAGACUCCUACGGGAGGCACCAGUGGGGAAUAUUGGACAAUGGGCGCAAGCCUGAUCCAACCAUGCCGCGUGUGUGAAGAAGGCCUUAUGGUUGUAAAGCACGUAAAGCGAGGAGGAGGCUAUACCUUCUAAGGUUUAAUACCGUACGAGAUACUGGAACGUUACUCCCAGAAUAAAGCACCGGCUUAACUCUGUGCCAGCAGCCCGCGGUUAAUACAGAGGGUGCAAGCGUUAAUCGGAUUUACUGGGCGUAAAGCGCGCGUAGGCGGCUAAUUUAAGUCAAAUGUGAAAUCCCCGAGCUUAACUUGGGAAUUGCAUUCGAUACUGGUUAGACUAGAGUGUGGGAGAGGAUGGUAGAAUUCCAGGUGUAACGGUGAAAUGCGUAGAGAUCUGGAGGAAUACCGAUGGCGAAGGCAGCCAUCUGGCCUAACACUGACGCUGAGGUGCGAAAGCAUGGGGAGCAAACAGGAUUAGAUACCCUGGUAGUCCAUGCCGUAAACGAUGUAUACUAACCGUUGGGGCCUUUGAGGCUUUAGUGGCGCACCUAACGCGAUAAGUAGACCGCCUGGGGAGUACGCUCGCAAGACUAAAACUCAAAUGAAAUAGACGGAGGCCAGCACAAGCGGUGCGAGCCAUGUGCGUUGAAUCCAGAUGCUAACGCGACAGAACCUUAACCCUGGAACCAAUUCGACACAGUAUGACACUGUGAGUCACAGACGCAUGGAUUGGUGCCUUUGGGAACUUACAUACAGGUGUUGCAUGGCUGUCGUCAGCUCGUGUCUUGAGAUGUUGGGUUAAGUCCCGCAACGAGCGCAACCCUUUUCCUUAUUUGCCAGCGAGUAAUGUCGGGAACUUUAAGGAUACUGCCAGUGACAAACUGGAGGAAGGCGGGGACGACGUCAAGUCAUCAUGGCCCUUACGGCCAGGGCUACACACGUGCUACAAUGGUCGGUACAAAGGGUUGCUACCUAGCGAUAGGAUGCUAAUCUCAAAAAGCCGAUCGUAGUCCGGAUUGGAGUCUGCAACUCGACUCCAUGAAGUCGGAAUCGCUAGUAAUCGCGAUCAGAAUGCCGCCAUACCC
This 1341-nucleotide ribosomal RNA is filed under the name Acinetobacter pittii. RNAcentral's name for it is "bacterial SSU rRNA". It matches the Rfam family "Bacterial small subunit ribosomal RNA", at positions 66 to 1367 of the family's 1533-position model. Lineage: Bacteria; Pseudomonadati; Pseudomonadota; Gammaproteobacteria; Moraxellales; Moraxellaceae. The record is from RNAcentral.